AUGCAGCAGCUACCAUGCAGUCGAGCGGUAGCACAGAGAGCUUGCUCUCGGGUGACGAGCGGCGGACGGGUGAGUAAUGUCUGGGAAACUGCCUGAUGGAGGGGGAUAACUACUGGAAACGGUAGCUAAUACCGCAUAACGUCGCAAGACCAAAGAGGGGGACCUUCGGGCCUCUUGCCAUCAGAUGUGCCCAGAUGGGAUUAGCUAGUAGGUGGGGUAACGGCUCACCUAGGCGACGAUCCCUAGCUGGUCUGAGAGGAUGACCAGCCACACUGGAACUGAGACACGGUCCAGACUCCUACGGGAGGCAGCAGUGGGGAAUAUUGCACAAUGGGCGCAAGCCUGAUGCAGCCAUGCCGCGUGUAUGAAGAAGGCCUUCGGGUUGUAAAGUACUUUCAGCGGGGAGGAAGGUGUUGAGGUUAAUAACCUCAGCAAUUGACGUUACCCGCAGAAGAAGCACCGGCUAACUCCGUGCCAGCAGCCGCGGUAAUACGGAGGGUGCAAGCGUUAAUCGGAAUUACUGGGCGUAAAGCGCACGCAGGCGGUCUGUCAAGUCGGAUGUGAAAUCCCCGGGCUCAACCUGGGAACUGCAUUCGAAACUGGCAGGCUAGAGUCUUGUAGAGGGGGGUAGAAUUCCAGGUGUAGCGGUGAAAUGCGUAGAGAUCUGGAGGAAUACCGGUGGCGAAGGCGGCCCCCUGGACAAAGACUGACGCUCAGGUGCGAAAGCGUGGGGAGCAAACAGGAUUAGAUACCCUGGUAGUCCACGCCGUAACGAUGUCGACUUGGAGGUUGUGCCCUUGAGGCGUGGCUUCCGGAGCUAACGCGUUAAGUCGACCGCCUGGGGAGUACGGCCGCAAGGUUAAAACUCAAAUGAAUUGACGGGGGCCCGCACAAGCGGUGGAGCAUGUGGUUUAAUUCGAUGCAACGCGAGAACCUUACCUACUCUUGACAUCCAGAGAACUUACCAGAGAUGCUUUGGUGCCUUCGGGAACUCUGAGACAGGUGCUGCAUGGCUGUCGUCAGCUCGUGUUGUGAAAUGUUGGGUUAAGUCCCGCAACGAGCGCA
This 1065-nucleotide ribosomal RNA is filed under the name Enterobacter asburiae. RNAcentral describes it as "bacterial SSU rRNA". It matches the Rfam family "Bacterial small subunit ribosomal RNA", at positions 37 to 1100 of the family's 1533-position model. The record is from RNAcentral. Lineage: Bacteria; Pseudomonadati; Pseudomonadota; Gammaproteobacteria; Enterobacterales; Enterobacteriaceae.